GGGGAAUAUUGGACAAUGGGGGAAACCCUGAUCCAGCCAUGCCGCGUGUGUGAAGAAGGCCUUUUGGUUGUAAAGCACUUUAAGCAGUGAAGAAGACUCCAUGGUUAAUACCCAUGGACGAUGACAUUAGCUGCAGAAUAAGCACCGGCUAACUCUGUGCCAGCAGCCGCGGUAAUACAGAGGGUGCAAGCGUUAAUCGGAAUUACUGGGCGUAAAGGGAGCGUAGGUGGCUCUAUAAGUCAGAUGUGAAAUCCCCGGGCUUAACCUGGGAACUGCAUCUGAAACUGUAGAGCUAGAGUAUGUGAGAGGAAGGUAGAAUUCCAGGUGUAGCGGUGAAAUGCGUAGAGAUCUGGAGGAAUACCGAUGGCGAAGGCAGCCUUCUGGCAUAAUACUGACACUGAGGCUCGAAAGCGUGGGUAGCAAACAGGAUUAGAUACCCUGGUAGUCCACGCCGUAAACGAUGUCUACUAGUCGUUGGGUCCCUUGAGGACUUAGUGACGCAGCUAACGCAAUAAGUAGACCGCCUGGGGAGUACGGCCGCAAGGUUAAAACUCAAAUGAAUUGACGGGGGCCCGCACAAGCGGUGGAGCAUGUGGUUUAAUUCGAUGCAACGCGAAGAACCUUACCUGGUCUUGACAUAUCUAGAAUCCUGCAGAGAUGCGGGAGUGCCUUCGGGAAUUAGAAUACAGGUGCUGCAUGGCUGUCGUCAGCUCGUGUCGUGAGA
Molecule: ribosomal RNA, 724 nt
Filed under: uncultured bacterium
Lineage: Bacteria
Description: bacterial SSU rRNA
Rfam family: Bacterial small subunit ribosomal RNA
Source: RNAcentral